GCUUCUUCAGCCCAGGUCACUUGUUCCUGUUCCUUUUUGUCAGUAAGACCAAAGUUUUCACCUUUCGGCCAGUUGGUAAUUAUUUUCAAAAUCUCAGGGUGAUUUGGGUUUCCAAUACGGGCGCGUUGUGUGAUGAGGGCAAUUUAUUUGCUUCAUGUGGCGUCAGUGGCAUGGUGGGUAGAAGGAACCUUUGCUUUGAACAUCCACCCCAGCACUGGCAGUCAGGGUGCCAGGAGGAGUUGUGUUUCUGUGCCAAUCACCUCUGAGGCAGCUUGAACUCCUUCAUAGGCAGCCAAGAUCUCCUUCUCUGUUGGAGUGUAGUUGGCCUUAGACCCUUUAACUUCAGCUCCAG
Sturnus vulgaris (Common starling) is the source of this 352-nucleotide non-coding RNA. Lineage: Eukaryota; Metazoa; Chordata; Aves; Passeriformes; Sturnidae. The record is from RefSeq and is a predicted model, not a curated record.